Molecule: long non-coding RNA, 1204 nt
Organism: Vitis vinifera (wine grape)
Lineage: Eukaryota; Viridiplantae; Streptophyta; Magnoliopsida; Vitales; Vitaceae
Exons: 2
Source: RefSeq, a predicted model, not a curated record
UCCCCAUCUCUCCAGCUCUCUAUCUCUCUAUAAAAGCUAUGUGGGCUCUAGGGUUUUCUUAUCCAUACAUGUAGAAGGUAGAAGAAGUGUGUUUAUUACCCUAGGGUUUGAGAUGUGUUCUUGUUUUAGGGUUUUAGAUUUAGAGUUCCCUCACCCUAGGGUUUUGAAGAGGGAGGAAGAGAAAUCAGAGUGAGAUGACUGGCUGUUUUUUGAGGGGAAUGUUGGCUGGCUCGAGGCAUUCACAUAAGAAGAAGAUAUAUAAGUGAAGGUGUCGGACCAGGCUUCAUUCCUCUCAAAUAUACAUGUUCUAUCUAUAUGCAUUUGAAUCUCUUCCGUAUGCCUCUAGGGUUGAUGAUGUAUAGACUGUUGUUCAGUCACGGCCAUCUAGGGUUUUUGUCUCCUUUUGUUUUCCUGGAAAAUUCUAAGAUUUUAGGUUUAGAUCCUUAUGGGUUUUUCAUUUCCCCAUCGACCAUCUCCCAACUCUCUCAAGGUUGCAACUCUCAGGUAAUUGAUUAAUGGCAAACCCUCUUUCUCUCUCUCUCUCCCUCUCUCUCUCUCUCUCUCUCUCUCUCUCUCUCUCUCUCUCUUUCUCUGUCUUUUUGAAGGUUGCAUGGAAUCAGUUCCAACCACUUGUUGAUAAUGAAAACAAACACAGAUCACUAGAUGCCAUUGACUUUGAAAGGUCUUUCCUUUUUGUGAAGUUGAAGUUUCUCCCCCAGCAAGAACACAGCCUUUGCUCAUCAACACUUUCCCAAUUGGAAUGGGUCUUUGAUUUCUAGUUAUGUUGCUGCAAACAGAAAGAUUUGCUUCUCCAAAUGACCAAAAUGAUCAGUUGCUGAGAAAGAUUUAUUGAAGAGGACUCUGAAAACCAAAAAUCUUGCAUCAUAUUAAUUGUGGAUGUCAGUCAAGUUUCCUAGGCAUCUAGGGUUUCUGAACAACAUACCUAUAAGAUCCUAGCCUGUUUUUCUUUUUCUCUCUCUCUCUCUUUUUUUUUUUGUUAUUUACACAUUAAUUUCUCCAUACUCAUGUAAACUUCUCUCUAUCUUCCAUUUCUUUUUUUUCUUUCUGAUGUAGUUUUUCUUGAGAAUGUUCAACUAGACAAGCUCUGUACUAGAUACAUUCAUGUCUGAUCUUCGAAACCAAUAAUUUAUGCAAUAAUGCUUUCACUUGUGAUGAAAGCAAAGCUCUUGAAAUGGAAAAUAAA